Molecule: ribosomal RNA, 253 nt
Filed under: uncultured Ohtaekwangia sp.
Lineage: Bacteria; Pseudomonadati; Bacteroidota; Cytophagia; Cytophagales; Fulvivirgaceae
Description: partial 16S ribosomal RNA
Rfam family: Bacterial small subunit ribosomal RNA
Source: RNAcentral
UACGUAGGUGGCAAGCGUUGUCCGGAUUUAUUGGGUUUAAAGGGUGCGUAGGCGGCCCUGUAAGUCAGUGCUGAAAUAUCCCGGCUCAACCGGGAGGGUGGCAUUGAUACUGCAGGGCUUGAGUGGAGUCGAAGUGGGCGGAAUUGACGGUGUAGCGGUGAAAUGCUUAGAUAUCGUCAAGAACACCGAUAGUGAAGACAGCUCACUAGGCUUCAACUGACGCUGAGGCACGAAAGUGUGGGGAUCAAACAGG